This 153-nucleotide ribosomal RNA is filed under the name uncultured Campylobacterota bacterium. RNAcentral describes it as "uncultured Epsilonproteobacteria bacterium partial 16S ribosomal RNA". It matches the Rfam family "Bacterial small subunit ribosomal RNA", at positions 355 to 525 of the family's 1533-position model. The record is from RNAcentral. Lineage: Bacteria; Pseudomonadati; Campylobacterota.
UGGGGAAUAUUGCACAAUGGGGGAAACCCUGAUGCAGCAACGCCGCGUGGAGGAUGACGCAUUUCGGUGUGUAAACUCCUUUUUUGUGGGAAGAUAAUGACGGUACCAUAAGAAUAAGCAUCGGCUAACUCCGUGCCAGCAGCCGCGGUAAUA